Molecule: ribosomal RNA, 493 nt
Filed under: uncultured bacterium
Lineage: Bacteria
Description: partial 16S ribosomal RNA
Rfam family: Bacterial small subunit ribosomal RNA
Source: RNAcentral
GAGUGAACGCUGGCGGUAGGCCUAACACAUGCAAGUCGAACGGCAGCACAGUAAGAGCUUGCUCUUACGGGUGGCGAGUGGCGGACGGGUGAGGAAUACAUCGGAAUCUACUUUUUCGUGGGGGAUAACGUAGGGAAACUUACGCUAAUACCGCAUACGACCUACGGGUGAAAGCAGGGGAUCUUCGGACCUUGCGCGAUUGAAUGAGCCGAUGUCGGAUUAGCUAGUUGGCGGGGUAAAGGCCCACCAAGGCGACGAUCCGUAGCUGGUCUGAGAGGAUGAUCAGCCACACUGGAACUGAGACACGGUCCAGACUCCUACGGGAGGCAGCAGUGGGGAAUAUUGGACAAUGGGCGCAAGCCUGAUCCAGCCAUACCGCGUGGGUGAAGAGGGCCUUCGGGUUGUAAAGCCCUUUUGUUGGGAAAGAAAAGCAGCAGGUUAAUACCCCGCUGUUCUGACGGUACCCAAAGAAUAAGCACCGGCUAACUUCGUG